UCAAAUGUCAGAUUUUUUGUUUCACUUUCCAUAAGCUUUUUAAAUGUGAUUUUAUUAUUAAGAGAACAGAUAUCAUGUAUUUCAUAGAUACAGUUCUAUGAAGAUAACCAUGCUUCCCUUCCUCCUUCCUUUCUCCCCCUUCCCCCUUCCUUUCUUUCCUUUUGCUUUUCCUUUAAUUUUUGCAAUAAUAUGCUUUCAAUUUACUUUAUAAACACGGGCUUAAUCCUCCACUAACCCUAUCAUUUUACCUGCCUAUCCUUUGGAGUCACUUUGUUAGAGUCGACCGCCCGAAAAACGUCACCAAGAGACACGUCUCUUAUGCAAACAGCACGGGGAAGUUUUAUUGAUUAUCCAGCAUGCUGGGGCUGUCUGAUCAUCAUGAGCAGAGCAGCCCCGAAUAACCAAAGGUUAGGAUUUAUAAAGGCAAAAACCGCAAAACCGGGAAGGGGAAGAGAAUACACGGUUGUUAAGUGGUUGCUAAAGUCUUACAAUCAGCAAUUAUGAUCUUAAGACAUAGACAAAUCACAUCUUCAUUAUUAGCCCCAGUUAACCCAGGUGCAACCUUUUUACUUUUAAGCUUGAGCAAUCAUGCUAGGGGGUUUUUGUGCGUUGCCAAGGGUGAUGUAGUGCACUGCUAUUGUCCGAUUAUUUGAGAUCAUAGUUUCAGACCGGAGUCUCACGGUGGGGGGGUUCUUUCCCAGAAUGCAGUCUCAAGUGCUCCAAAAUGGAGUCCCUACUGUCAAGGUGCUACUUCACUCUGUUUUAUUUUUACAGCUGCACCAGGAAGGUUUAAACCUGUAAGCUUAACUUUUUACACCCACACAUAUACAAUUUUAACUCUUCAACUUCUCUCCCUUAAUAGUAGUAAACAGCUUUAACAACAGAUCCUGACUUGACCCCUUUUAGGUUGGUGUCUUACUAUACUUCAGACCUGAAUGAAUGAAAGAAUGAUCCAGUUCAUGAGCUAGACUCCAUACUGAAGCUAUGUCUCAAGCUCCUAUUAGAACAUGUAGAGGCUUAACCUGGUUUGCCACAAUGCUGGACCCUUUUCAAGAUUUUAAGAUGAUUGACAUCGAUAUUUUCCAGCAACACAAAAAUCUGAAUGCUGAGAACGAUCUUCAUUCUCGCAGUAGGUGUGGCAAACAGACUCAUUUUUCAAGGAGUAAAACGAUGCAUAAAAUGUUUUAAUAAUGUUUCCAGGUAGCAGAACUUUAAUAGUCUAUGAUCUUUAUAGAUUUCAUCUUUGGACUGUAUCCAUUUGUGAAUGACCCUGAAAGUUAUCAUGAGAAAUGGUAAUAUGCCAUUUUGCUAAAACACAAAUGUUAAUUUCAUGCAACCACGAACCUGGUACUAGUAAUUGAAUAACAAGGGUCUAGUUAACCGAUCACUCAGUCUGUUCAGCUCAACAUUGCUCUGCUGUUAUUUAUCAUAUCAUUAAUAAUAUUUUACAGAUAAGCAAUAAUACAGUCAAUUUACCAAUACACCAAUCUUAUACUAGAGUAACGCUAAUAUACUGCAGAGUCAGGAAGAUCUUGAGACACAUCCCUCAUUAAAAUCAGAAAACUGGGGUUAGCAUUGUGGCAUGGUAGGUAAAAGCCCUGCCUGUGACACCGGUAUCACACAUGGGUGCCAGUUUGUGUCACGACUGCUCUAUUUCCAAUCCAGCUCCCUGCUAAUGUCCUGAGAAAAGCAGUGGAAGAUGACCCAAGUGUUUGUGCCCCUGCUACCCAAAUGGGAGACCUGGAUGAAGCUCCUGGUUCCUGGCUUUGGCCUGGCCUAGCCCUGGCCAUUGCAUCCAUCUGUGAAGUGAACCACCAGAUGGAAGAUCUGUGUGUGUGUGUGUCUUGAUUAAUCCAUAGUCAACAUGUUUGAGCUUCUAAUACUAUAUUACAUUGUACAUGAUUGGAACUCAGUGAAGUCUAUAUUCAAUGAAUAAUUCUAAAAACAUAUGCACUGUGAACCUAAAAGUGCUCUGAAAAAUACAGUCUAUUAAAAAAUUAUGCGGGAUGGGGCCAGAGCCAUGGCUCACUUGGUUAAUCCUCCACUGCGGUGCCGGCAUCCCAUGUGGGCGCUGGAUUCUGGUCCCGGUUGCUCCUCUUUCAGUCCAGCUCUCUGCUGUGGCCCGCGAGGGCAGUAGAGGAUGCCCAAGUGCUUGGGCCCCUGUGCCCAUGUAGGAGACCAGAAGGAGGCGCCUGGCUUCUAGCUUCGGAUCGGUGCAGCCAUUUAGGGAGUGAGCCAAUGGAGGGAAGACCUUUCUCUCUGUCCUCUCUGUCUCUCUGUCUAUAAUACCUGUCAAAUAAAUUUUUAAAAAAUUAUGUGAGGGCCA
Long non-coding RNA from Oryctolagus cuniculus (rabbit), 2326 nucleotides. Lineage: Eukaryota; Metazoa; Chordata; Mammalia; Lagomorpha; Leporidae. The record is from Ensembl.